AUACGUAAGGGGCAAGCGUUGUUCGGAUUCAUUGGGCGUAAAGCGCACGUAGGCGGAUAGUUAAGUCGGGUGUUUAACCUUCAGGCUCAACCUGGAGUCGGCACUCGAUACUGAUUAUCUUGAGUAUCGGAGGGGAAAGCGGAAUUCUCGGUGUAGCGGUGGAAUGCGUAGAUAUCGAGAGGAACACCAGUGGCGAAGGCGGCUUUCUGGACGAAUACUGACGCUGAGGUGCGAAAGCGUGGGGAGCGAACAGGAUUAGAUACCCUGGUAGUCCACGCCGUAAACGUUGUGCACUAGAUGUCGGGGGUUUCAAUGCCUCCGGUGUCGCCGCUAACGCAUUAAGUGCACCGCCUGGGGAGUAUGCCCGCAAGGGUGAA
Molecule: ribosomal RNA, 377 nt
Filed under: uncultured bacterium
Lineage: Bacteria
Description: bacterial SSU rRNA
Rfam family: Bacterial small subunit ribosomal RNA
Source: RNAcentral